Pollicipes pollicipes is the source of this 370-nucleotide long non-coding RNA. RefSeq lists it as uncharacterized. The record is from RefSeq and is a predicted model, not a curated record. Lineage: Eukaryota; Metazoa; Arthropoda; Thecostraca; Pollicipedomorpha; Pollicipedidae. The transcript has 4 exons.
CAGCGCGCUGCCCGGCGGGCUCGGCCACCAGGCCGACGUCCACCCACACUCCGGCAGUCUGGUGGACUACCUGUACGACGCAAACCUGACGCUGGCGCUGUCGGCGUUCGUGUCGUGCUGCCCGGGCCCGGACGUGGCCCAGCUGUCGGCGCUCUGGCGGCGCCACCGGCCAGCUAUGCUGGGCUUCAUCGCCCAGCAGCAGGGCAUACAGGGCUUCGUGACGGACCAGCAGAACGCGCCGCUGGCGGGCGCCGUGCUCACGGUGAACGGCUCCACCUUCACCACCCGCACCGGCAGCGACGGCCAGUUCUGGCGGCCGCUCACGCCCGGCGUGGUGACGGUGCAUGUGUCGGCGCCGGCCCACCUGGCC